Molecule: ribosomal RNA, 497 nt
Filed under: uncultured bacterium
Lineage: Bacteria
Description: partial 16S ribosomal RNA
Rfam family: Bacterial small subunit ribosomal RNA
Source: RNAcentral
GAUGAACGCUGGCGGCGUGCCUAAUACAUGCAAGUCGAGCGAACAGACGAGGAGCUUGCUCCUCUGACGUUAGCGGCGGACGGGUGAGUAACACGUGGAUAACCUACCUAUAAGACUGGGAUAACUUCGGGAAACCGGAGCUAAUACCGGAUAACAUGUUGAACCGCAUGGUUCAACAGUGAAAGACGGUCUUGCUGUCACUUAUAGAUGGAUCCGCGCCGCAUUAGCUAGUUGGUAAGGUAACGGCUUACCAAGGCAACGAUGCGUAGCCGACCUGAGAGGGUGAUCGGCCACACUGGAACUGAGACACGGUCCAGACUCCUACGGGAGGCAGCAGUAGGGAAUCUUCCGCAAUGGGCGAAAGCCUGACGGAGCAACGCAGCGUGAGUGAAGAAGGUCUUCGGAUCGUAAAACUCUGUUAUUAGGGAAGAACAAAUGUGUAAGUAACUAUGCACGUCUUGACGGUACCUAAUCAGAAAGCCACGGCUAACUACGUG